UACAGAGGUCUCAAGCGUUGUUCGGAUUCAUUGGGCGUAAAGGGUGCGUGGGUGGCGCCGUAAGUCAGGUGUGAAAUCUCGGGGCUCAACCCCGGAACUGCACUUGAUACUGCGGUGCUCGAGUACUGGAGAGGAGAUUGGAAUUUACGGUGUAGCAGUGAAAUGCGCAGAUAUCGGGAGGAACACCAGUAGCGAAGGCGGCUCGCUGGGCCGUUCCUGACGCUGAGACGCGAAAGCUAGGGGAGCGAACAGG
RNAcentral lists this ribosomal RNA (253 nucleotides) under uncultured bacterium. RNAcentral's name for it is "partial 16S ribosomal RNA". It matches the Rfam family "Bacterial small subunit ribosomal RNA", at positions 524 to 776 of the family's 1533-position model. The record is from RNAcentral.